UGUUAAAAAUUUCAUCCAUUUCGACUGUUAAAAAAUGACGUGACUAAUAGAAUAACCAGAUAGUUACACGUAGCAGGCCACAUGUACCUCGUGCUAAUGUACAAAGACCAGUUUUUAAUAGUAAAAAUGGAAGGAAUUUUUAACA
Non-coding RNA from Gossypium raimondii (Peruvian cotton), 145 nucleotides. The record is from Rfam. NCBI's taxonomy places the organism in Eukaryota, Viridiplantae, Streptophyta, Magnoliopsida, Malvales, Malvaceae.